RNAcentral lists this ribosomal RNA (169 nucleotides) under Filobasidium uniguttulatum. RNAcentral describes it as "partial large subunit ribosomal RNA". It matches the Rfam family "Eukaryotic large subunit ribosomal RNA", at positions 99 to 261 of the family's 3401-position model. The record is from RNAcentral. Lineage: Eukaryota; Fungi; Basidiomycota; Tremellomycetes; Filobasidiales; Filobasidiaceae.
CGGGAAGAGCUCAAAUUUGAAAUCUGGUGGCCUCAGGUCAUCCGAGUUGUAAUCUAUAGAAGUGUUUUCCGUGCUGGCCCAUGUACAAGUCCCUUGGAACAGGGCGUCAUAGAGGGUGAGAAUCCCGUCCUUGACAUGGACUACCAGUGCUCUGUGAUACACUUUCAAC